GANCGGGGGCCUGCACAAGCGGUGGAGCAUGUGGUUUAAUUCGAAGCAACGCGCAGAACCUUACCAGCGUUUGACAUGUCCGGACGAUUCCCAGAGAUGGGUCUCUUCCCUUCGGGGACUGGAACACAGGUGCUGCAUGGCNGUCGUCAGCUCGUGUCGUGAGAUGUUGGGUUAAGUCCCGCAACGAGCGCAACCCUCGCCUUUAGUUACCAUCAUUCAGUUGGGUACUCUAAAGGAACCGCCGGUGAUAAGCCGGAGGAAGGUGGGGAUGACGUCAAGUCCUCAUGGCCCUUACGCGCUGGGCUACACACGUGNUACAAUGGCGACUACAGUGGGCUGCAAUCCCGCCGAGGGUGAGCUAAUCUCCAAAAGUCGUCUCAGUUCGGAUUGCUCUCUGCAACCUCGAGAGCAUGAAGGCAGGAUAUCGCUAGUAAUCGCGGGAUCAGCAU
This 449-nucleotide ribosomal RNA is filed under the name Sphingomonadaceae bacterium L677_HCm. RNAcentral describes it as "bacterial SSU rRNA". It matches the Rfam family "Bacterial small subunit ribosomal RNA", at positions 914 to 1355 of the family's 1533-position model. The record is from RNAcentral. Lineage: Bacteria; Pseudomonadati; Pseudomonadota; Alphaproteobacteria; Sphingomonadales; Sphingomonadaceae.